RNAcentral lists this unclassified non-coding RNA (300 nucleotides) under uncultured Saccotheciaceae. RNAcentral's name for it is "sequence contains 5.8S rRNA gene, ITS2". The stretch from base 1 to 83 matches the Rfam family "5.8S ribosomal RNA", at positions 72 to 154 of the family's 154-position model. Lineage: Eukaryota; Fungi; Ascomycota; Dothideomycetes; Dothideales; Saccotheciaceae. The record is from RNAcentral.
UAUAAGAGACAGGUGAGUCAUCGAAUCUUUGAACGCACAUUGCGCCCCUUGGUAUUCCAUGGGGCAUGCCUGUUCGAGCGUCAUUACACCACUCAAGCUAUGCUUGGUAUUGGGCGUCGUCCUUAGUUGGGCGCGCCUUAAAGACCUCGGCGAGGCCACUCCGGCUUUAGGCGUAGUAGAAUUUAUUCGAACGUCUGUCAAAGGAGAGGAACUCUGCCGACUGAAACCUUUAUUUUUCUAGGUUGACCUCGGAUCAGGUAGGGAUACCCGCUGAACUUAAGCAUAUCAAUAAGCGGAGGA